GAUCGCAUGUCCGAGUGGUCAGGAGGCCGCCUGCAAAGCGGUUCACGCCGGUUCGAAUCCGGCUGCGAUCUC
Molecule: transfer RNA, 72 nt
Filed under: Actinoplanes octamycinicus
Lineage: Bacteria; Bacillati; Actinomycetota; Actinomycetes; Micromonosporales; Micromonosporaceae
Description: tRNA-Cys
Rfam family: tRNA
About the family: Transfer RNA (tRNA) molecules are approximately 80 nucleotides in length. Their secondary structure includes four short double-helical elements and three loops (D, anti-codon, and T loops).
Source: RNAcentral